UUACCCAGUAAGUACACUCAUUGGCAUAAGUUAUCUGACAUCCUGGAAAAGCUGAAAUCAAUAGGAUUUUUCUCUAUGCUCUUCUGUUUUCUGACUGCUGUGUUCUCUCAGAUGAUCUGGGCCAAGAGCAGUGCAAACAUAUCCCUCUUACUUGUUGGAUGCUACUGCCUGUGGGUUCACACGCUGUUCUGGAUUUUGAGGGGGAGGGGCUGGUUCACAGGAGAGGUUUGAGGUUGGGCUUACCUAACUUCCCUUGACAGAGAGGCCAGGCUCGAGCAAUUGGGAACUGUCAUUCUGAAAAGUGAGGUUUCCACGAUGGGGCUUGAGAAAAAUACAAAUUGGUAAACAGAGACGUUUGAAUUUUCAUUAGAAUGAGACUCUAAAAAAUAGAUCUUUUCUGUAUUCCCAGUCCAAAUAAGUGGGGAGGUUGCAUUCAAAGGACUUUGUCUGGGGAACUUACUCUAGCGGCGGCUCUCUUGCUCUCCUUGAAUUGGUUCGCCCAUGCUGGUAACUGGCAUUUGCUAUAACACCUUGUCUGGUGAGUUCAGGAGAACAAGGAGCUAAACAUAAUCUGCAGUAGGAAACAGAGACAGCUGAUGGAUUCGUAGACAAUGUUCCGUGGAGUUAAGUGUUGUACCCUCUUUAUUCUUUUAGAGGUCUGCUUGGUAACGUGAAAGAGACGUUCGUCCAGUGCCUGAAAUCCCCUUCAGAGUGUGUUCCCAUUACAAGGGCUUGGGAAUAGUCACCUGAAGUGAGCACACCAUUUCUACUGUGGUCUUUGAUUUUUUUGCUUUAUAGGGAUUAGCAUACAUGUUUCUGAAAAUUGAAAAGUCAGGAGAGUAGAGUUCUGUGGAUCAGAAUUCUAGAAUGAUGUGGCUGCGCUCUCUGCUGACAGAAUUGGUUGGGGAUAGACGUGCUCAAAGCAGGCAAUGAAAUCAUCCACUGAAGUAUGUGUGGUCCACGGUGGAGCUGGUGUUUGAAUCUUCCGCUGCCUUUCCUCAGGCUGUGCCUUUAUUGCUUCCGCUCACACCUGGAAUAGGAUUUGAGUGGAAAUGUGAUUGGAGUCGAAGGCAUCAGGGAGGGAGCCUGAGCUGAGACCACAUCUUGAAAACACAGAAUUGAGGGAGCAGAUGGAAGAAAGAAAGUCAGCAGGCUUGGAGGAUGAUGAUAACCCAAAGAAGAUUAAGGUGCUGGUGGAGGAGGUGCGUUGGCAAAGGAGCUGGAUGACCUGUCCUGACCCACGACCCUGAACCUCAGCCAGAUUGCAGCCUCUCCGAACCAAUGCUUGGACUCCAUGUUGGCUCCAAGCCCUCAACACUGCCAAAGUCUCCAGAGGAAACAGCUGGUGUCACAGCUACUGACUGUGUCCUGGCCAGCUGGAGAAAU
Non-coding RNA from Equus caballus (horse), 1386 nucleotides. NCBI's taxonomy places the organism in Eukaryota, Metazoa, Chordata, Mammalia, Perissodactyla, Equidae. The record is from RefSeq and is a predicted model, not a curated record.